Molecule: ribosomal RNA, 493 nt
Filed under: uncultured bacterium
Lineage: Bacteria
Description: partial 16S ribosomal RNA
Rfam family: Bacterial small subunit ribosomal RNA
Source: RNAcentral
GACGAACGCUGGCGGCACGCUUAACACAUGCAAGUCGAACGGAAAGGCCUGCUUUCCCUUGUGGAUUGCGGGUACUCGAGUGGCGAACGGGUGAGUAACACGUGAGUGAUCUGCCCCCAACUUGGGUAUAAGCCUGGGAAACUGGGUCUAAUUCCCGAUAGGACUGCAGGGUGGUGCCUGUGGUGGAAAACGAUUUUCUAGUGGUUGGGGAUGAGCUCGCGGCCUAUCAGCUUGUUGGUGGGGUAAUGGCCUACCAAGGCGGCGACGGGUAGCCGGCCUGAGAGGGUGGACGGCCACAUUGGGACUGAGAUACGGCCCAGACGCCUACGGGAGGCAGCAGUGGGGAAUAUUGCACAAUGGGCGGAAGCCUGAUGCAGCGACGCCGCGUGGGGGAUGACGGCCUUCGGGUUGUAAACUCCUUUCGACCGCGAGGAAGCCACCUGGUUGGAAGGGUGGUGACGGUAGUGGUAGAAGAAGCACCGGCUAACUACGU